UACGUAGGGUGCGAGCGUUGUCCGGAAUUACUGGGCGUAAAGAGCUCGUAGGUGGUUUGUCGCGUUGUUCGUGAAAUCUCACGGCUUAACUGUGAGCGUGCGGGCGAUACGGGCAGACUAGAGUACUGCAGGGGAGACUGGAAUUCCUGGUGUAGCGGUGGAAUGCGUAGAUACCAGGAGGAACACCGGUGGCGAAGGCGGCUUCCUGGCCCAGUACUGACGCUGAGGCACGAAAGCGUGGGGAGCGAACGGG
This 253-nucleotide ribosomal RNA is filed under the name uncultured bacterium. RNAcentral describes it as "partial 16S ribosomal RNA". It matches the Rfam family "Bacterial small subunit ribosomal RNA", at positions 524 to 776 of the family's 1533-position model. The record is from RNAcentral.